RNAcentral lists this ribosomal RNA (535 nucleotides) under uncultured bacterium. RNAcentral's name for it is "bacterial SSU rRNA". It matches the Rfam family "Bacterial small subunit ribosomal RNA", at positions 777 to 1304 of the family's 1533-position model. The record is from RNAcentral.
AAUAGAUACCCAGGUAGUCCACGCCGUAAACGGUGGGCACUAGGUGUGGGCGACAUUCCACGUCGUCCGUGCCGCAGCUAACGCAUUAAGUGCCCCGCCUGGGGAGUACGGCCGCAAGGCUAAAACUCAAAGGAAUUGACGGGGGCCCGCACAAGCGGCGGAGCAUGUGGCUUAAUUCGACGCAACGCGAAGAACCUUACCAAGGCUUGACAUACACCGGAAACGUCCAGAGAUGGGCGCCCCCUUGUGGUCGGUGUACAGGUGGUGCGUGGCUGUCGUCAGCUCGUGUCGUGAGAUGUUGGGUUAAGUCCCGCAACGAGCGCAACCCUUGUCCCGUGUUGCCAGCAGGCCCUUGUGGUGCUGGGGACUCACGGGAGACCGCCGGGGUCAACUCGGAGGAAGGUGGGGACGACGUCAAGGUCAUCAUGCCCCUUAUGUCUUGGGCUGCACACGUGCUACAAUGGCCGGUACAAUGAGCUGCGAUACCGCGAGGUGGAGCGAAUCUCAAAAAGCCGGUCUCAGUUCGGAUUGGGGU